RNAcentral lists this ribosomal RNA (347 nucleotides) under Klebsiella pneumoniae. RNAcentral's name for it is "bacterial SSU rRNA". It matches the Rfam family "Bacterial small subunit ribosomal RNA", at positions 103 to 453 of the family's 1533-position model. Lineage: Bacteria; Pseudomonadati; Pseudomonadota; Gammaproteobacteria; Enterobacterales; Enterobacteriaceae. The record is from RNAcentral.
CGGGUGAGUAAUGUCUGGGAAACUGCCUGAUGGAGGGGGAUAACUACUGGAAACGGUAGCUAAUACCGCAUAACGUCGCAAGACCAAAGUGGGGGACCUUCGGGCCUCAUGCCAUCAGAUGUGCCCAGAUGGGAUUAGCUAGUAGGUGGGGUAAUGGCUCACCUAGGCGACGAUCCCUAGCUGGUCUGAGAGGAUGACCAGCCACACUGGAACUGAGACACGGUCCAGACUCCUACGGGAGGCAGCAGUGGGGAAUAUUGCACAAUGGGCGCAAGCCUGAUGCAGCCAUGCCGCGUGUGUGAAGAAGGCCUUCGGGUUGUAAAGCACUUUCAGCGGGGAGGAAGGCG